UCUGAUAUGGCAGAUAAGUGCAACGGACUUAAACCCCGUAUAUAAAGAUUCCAACCUUUUAUUAGAA
This 67-nucleotide transfer RNA is filed under the name Eupolyphaga hanae. RNAcentral's name for it is "tRNA-Leu". It matches the Rfam family "tRNA". From Rfam's summary of the family: Transfer RNA (tRNA) molecules are approximately 80 nucleotides in length. Their secondary structure includes four short double-helical elements and three loops (D, anti-codon, and T loops). Lineage: Eukaryota; Metazoa; Arthropoda; Insecta; Blattodea; Corydiidae. The record is from RNAcentral.